This 253-nucleotide ribosomal RNA is filed under the name uncultured bacterium. RNAcentral describes it as "partial 16S ribosomal RNA". It matches the Rfam family "Bacterial small subunit ribosomal RNA", at positions 524 to 776 of the family's 1533-position model. The record is from RNAcentral.
UACGGGGGGGGCAAGCGUUGUUCGGAAUUACUGGGCGUAAAGGGCUCGUAGGCGGCCAACUAAGUCCGACGUGAAAUCCCCAGGCUUAACCUGGGAACUGCGUCGGAUACUGGAUGGCUUGAAUUCGGGAGAGGGAUGCAGAAUUCCAGGUGUAGCGGUGAAAUGCGUAGAUAUCUGGAGGAACACCGGUGGCGAAGGCGGCGUUCUGGACUGCUACUGACACUGAGGAACGAAAGCCAGGGGAGCAAACGGG